RNAcentral lists this long non-coding RNA (1125 nucleotides) under Canis lupus familiaris (dog). RNAcentral describes it as "lncRNA (ENSCAFG00030000252.1)". The record is from RNAcentral. Lineage: Eukaryota; Metazoa; Chordata; Mammalia; Carnivora; Canidae.
AUGAUAAUGCAAUCCACAGAAAGCUUUACGGAGGGGAAGGAAAAAUGCACUCCCUGGGGCUGGGAAGUCGCUGGGUCUGUGAAGGCAGAGAAAGAUACAUUGUGCAGGACAUUUCUCUCGCUUCUCCCCGCACAUAAAUCACUGUCUCUCGCGGGCGCUCUGCGGGAUGGAGGCGAGAGAGGCGAGGGACCCCGCUCCCUCGGGGAAACGUGCUGGCGCCCCCCCUCGCGGCGCCGCCGGCCCUCACCUGCCCCGCGGGCCUCGGUCAGGGGGCGGGAGCGUGCCGCUGACACCUCGGCCCGCCUCCCUCCCGGCGGCUCCGGGCCCCGGGACGCCGCCCGCCGCCGCCCUCCCCGGAGCGCGCGGAGCCCGGGACCCCCACGGCCGCCCGCGCCCCAGCCGCGCGCCCCGCGCCCCCGGGCUCCCCGGCCCCCGCCCUCCCGGGCUGCGGCGCGCCCCCCCCGCCCCUCUCGGCCGCGCGGACCCCGUCCCCGCACCUCCUGCGCGGCGGCCGGCUCCCAGAGCCACCCCCAGGUCAUGCCCCGCGCGCGGGCGGCGGCUGCGGCGGCGGCGGCUGCGAUCCGAGCGGGGCCCUCCAUGCACCGAGCGGGGCGGCAGGAGCGCGCGGCGCCUCGCACGCCGGGGCGGGGACGCAGGGCCGGGCGGGCGGGCGGGCUGGCGCCGGGUCCCCGCUCUCCGCGCACCAAGCCGCGCGAGCCGGGCACCCGGGACUCGGGGGAGGGGAGCGGGGGGGGCGGAGCCAGCGGGGCGCGCCCCCGCGGCCGCGCUCCUCUCCGCCCAGGCGCGCGGCGCGUCCCCGGCGGGCGCGGGGCCAGCGAGCUGCACGCGAGGAGCGGGAGGAGGGAACCGGGCCGGGGGGUGCGCGCGCAGCCUGCCAGAUCAGCGGCGGGGGGGGGGGGGGCGGGCCGUACCAACCUGCGGGGGGGGCUCUGCGCAGGACCGUCCCCUUCCCGCGCGCUCCCGGGGAGGCCGCCCCGAGGAAGGUCGAGCGCGGUCUCGGCCUCGGUUUCGGCUAGUGAGGGGGAGCCGCCUGGGCCGCCACGGAGGCUCCGGGAUGCCCGCGCGCUCGCCCUGCUCCCCUCGCGCCCCCCCCCGGCAGAGGCG